RNAcentral lists this transfer RNA (77 nucleotides) under bacterium. RNAcentral's name for it is "tRNA-Val". It matches the Rfam family "tRNA". Rfam says of the family: Transfer RNA (tRNA) molecules are approximately 80 nucleotides in length. Their secondary structure includes four short double-helical elements and three loops (D, anti-codon, and T loops). RNAcentral also lists the same sequence under 1 other name. The record is from RNAcentral.
GGACCGCUAGCUCAGUUGGCUAGAGCGCCUCGUUGACAUCGAGGAGGUCACAAGUUCAAGUCUUGUGCGGUCCACCA